RNAcentral lists this long non-coding RNA (2319 nucleotides) under Mytilus galloprovincialis (Mediterranean mussel). The record is from RNAcentral. Lineage: Eukaryota; Metazoa; Mollusca; Bivalvia; Mytilida; Mytilidae.
AGGAGAUGCACACACAUGACAAACAGUGAAUAGGGAGAUAACUCUUACAAAGAAAAUGGUUCGGCUUAGCAGGGUGAAAUUUAAAAGCGCAUAAACUAUACGAUACAAUAUGAAAAAAAUCUAAGCGACAUAUUGCGAAACAAACAUUUAUCGCAAGAACAAAAUUUGGCGGAAAAAAAAAAAAAAUAAUAAUAAUCAGAACAAAUACAAUAGAAGAAAAGUGGAAAGACCAAUUGUUCAGAGAACAAUUGAAAGUCUUUCCACACCAAAGAAAUUUUGAUAAGAUAGUUUCUUCAUACUGAUGCGAUAAAUAAUGGUUUAAUUAUAUUUUUGAGUGAUAUAAGGGAGAUAAUAUGCUACUUCCGGUGAAAUGAAUGUCACUUCCGGUCUCAUAUGAUAGCUUCUUUCACACUGAUUCCAAAAAUAUAUAGUUUCUAUAUACUUUUGUAUGUAGAAUGGGAGAUAAUUGGCCACUUCCGGUUUGUUGGAAGUCAUUUUUAGUCUUCAGUAAUCAGUUUAUGUAUCUAUAUGACAAAAUAUAUGGAUUCUGAGUACUUUUAUAUGAAAAAAUUGCAAAAAAGGCUACUUCCGGUUUUCUCAAGGUCACUUCCGGUAGUCAUUUUUCAAGGUCAUUUGUCACCUUAACCUUUUGUACAAGGUCAAAUGCCUUUAUAAUGAACUUAGUUGAAGUUAUAAUCAAAUAACCUCAUAUCAAGACAUUUCAGGGGCACCAACUCCUAUAAGAUGCCAUUAAAUUGUAUAAGACUAAAUGUAGCAUAUCUUCAUUACAAUAAAGCUGACAUUUUGCACUUGUUCUUUUAUAUGUAUCUUUCAAAGUGUCUGAGAAAAUGCAAAAACAAGCAAAAGUCACAAUUGAGAACUUGACCUUGACCUUUGACCUUGACCUCAUUUUCUAAGUUAGGACCUAGGGGACUCAAAUAAAAAACAUUCCAGGGUUAUACGGUUAACUGUUUAUGAGUUAAAAUAAACAUACCGACAAAUUUAUUUUGUAAAGGUAGAUAACUCCUAUAAAAUUUCAUCGAAUCGCUUCGAUCCAAAUUAGCCAAAAAUUCCUGAGGAUGUAACGAACAAUUUGUAAAAAGAAUUUUGUCGCUAUCUUUUUUUGUUACGAAGGAGAUGCACACAGAUGAUAAACAGUGAAAAGGGAGAUAACUCUUACAAAGAAAAUGGUUCGCCUUAGCAGGGUGAAAUUUAAAAGCGCAUAAACUAUACGAUACCAUAUGAGAAAUAUCUAAGCGACAUAUUGCGAAACAAACAUUUUGCGCAAGAACAAAAUUUGGCGGAAGAAAAAAAAAAAAAAUAAUAAAAUAAUAAGUCUUUAAUGGAAAGAAUAAAUAUAAAGCAAUUGUUUUGAAAACAAUUGUUAGGCAGUCUUUCCCCUCUGAUGAAUGGAUAAUUGAUUUUUUUUUUUAUUGAUUGAUUUGGAAAAAGGGGGGGGGGUAUUUGUUUAUUUGUUUGUUUGUUUGCUUUGGUAUGGGGUCUAUAUUAUUAUGUUACCGGAGAAGUUUCAUGUUUAGUUUGGAAAGUUUUUCUUUUAUUUUAGAUACAGCGCGCGCGCAAGAUUGAGGAGACAUCACGUGACGCGGGUUUAUAUUAAGAAAAACUUAGUCUUUUAAUUUCUUUUUAGGUCGGGACUUUGAACAGACAACAUGUAUAGAGAUGGAAUGUACACAAUGUAAUUUCUUUUGUCAUUGUAGGAAAUUGACAUUUUGAUCACAGUUCACCAGCAGUGCAUGUUUUGGAUUUAAUCGAUCCGGUGUAACUUUAAAACACAUUUAAUGAUUAUUUUUUGAUAAUGUCCAUUUUUCAGCACCUGUUUGUAACACAGAUUAGUAUUUCAAUCUCGGAGCGGACAUUUUAUUGUAGGUUUUUACUGAGAUUGACGGACCUAGCAAGCGAUUUUUACGGCAUUGCCAUUUCUUUUUUCUAGGAAAAGUCUUGAGAGAUAUCUGCAAAAAGUUUUUUUAUGAACCUUCAGUACAUGUAUGCCCUGCUGACUGCAAAUUUUCAGGUCGAUUGGACUUGUAGUUUCAGAGAAUAUGUGGAUUUUUUUUCAGAAGAGACGUAAGAACAAUAAUAAAAUAAAAAUUUUCUUGAAUAAUUGAGAGUUUGUUCCUUCAAUAAACUGUCAUAAAUAAACAGUCAUACAUAUUGAUUGAUUGAUUAGUUGGUUGAUUGAUUGGUUGGUUGGUUGGUUUGUUGGUUGGUUGAUUAAACACGUUUGAUAGGGUCACUUAGAACAAGGGAAAAAAACCUCAAGAGACCUUGCAUCCCGUAUUAAACGCAUGACACGGAAAC